This 389-nucleotide transfer-messenger RNA is filed under the name Nostocaceae. Its description in RNAcentral is "Aulosira sp014697075 Standard tmRNA". It matches the Rfam family "transfer-messenger RNA". Rfam says of the family: Bacterial tmRNA, also known as 10Sa RNA or SsrA, is named for its dual tRNA and mRNA-like properties. Its role is to liberate the mRNA from a stalled ribosome. Lineage: Bacteria; Bacillati; Cyanobacteriota; Cyanophyceae; Nostocales. RNAcentral also lists the same sequence under 1 other name. The record is from RNAcentral.
GGGUCCGUCACGGUUUCGACAGGUUGGCGAACGCUGCUCUGUGAUUCAGGUCGAGAGUGAGUCUCCUCUCGCAAAUCAAAGGCUCAAAACAAAAGUAAAUGCGAAUAACAUCGUUAGCUUUGCUCGUAAGCCUGCUCUAGCAGUUGCCUAAAAACCUCUAAUUGGUUCGAGCGUCUUUAGCCUGACUCCGUUAAGGGCUAGAGACCAACCCCAACGGAUGCUCUAGCAAGUGUUCUCUGGUUGGCUUGCUAGCUAAGACUUAAUCAGAGCAUCCUACGUUCGGGAUAAUGAACGAUUCCCGCCUUGAGGGUCAGAUAGGCUAAACCUGUGAAUGAGCGGAGGGUUAAUACCCAAUUUGGACAGCAGUUCGACUCUGCUCGGAUCCACUA